This is a long non-coding RNA of Tachysurus fulvidraco (yellow catfish), 402 nucleotides long. RefSeq lists it as uncharacterized. The transcript is spliced from 3 exons. Lineage: Eukaryota; Metazoa; Chordata; Actinopteri; Siluriformes; Bagridae. The record is from RefSeq and is a predicted model, not a curated record.
AGACUGAUGAAGUUCCCAAACCAAGACUUCUUAGCCAACCUAUAAAGGACAGAGGACGAGGAGCGAUGCGACUCCAAACAGGAGCAGGACGAACACCAUAAUAAGAGCUGUGGUUCGGCUUGCUGCUGAGAUGUCUCUUCAGAUCAGUUCCUCUGCACUCAUGUGAGCACAGUGACAUACAACUACUCUUGUGUGGCAUCUCACCCUGCAGCUUGCGGCGAUGGAAGCGUGGUGAGCCCAGCAGGUUGUUCUUGAACGAGUUUAGACGACUUCUCCAGUGGGCGGAGCUGCUAGCAGCCAUUCCACUACCUGCACCAGGGCUGGAGGGGGGAGUGAGGGUGAGGGAGCCACCCCCUGCACUGCUGCCAGCCCCACCCCCUUCAGCCCGUGAGGAGGAAGAGG